GUGCUCUCUUCGGCAGCACAUAUACUAAAGCUGGAACGACACAGAGAAGAUUAGCAUGGCCCCUGUGCAAGGAUGACAUGCAAAUUCAUGAAGCAUUCCAUAUUUUA
Molecule: small nuclear RNA, 107 nt
Organism: Balaenoptera musculus (blue whale)
Lineage: Eukaryota; Metazoa; Chordata; Mammalia; Artiodactyla; Balaenopteridae
Source: Ensembl